Magnolia sinica is the source of this 90-nucleotide small nucleolar RNA. RefSeq annotates it as small nucleolar RNA U54. The record is from RefSeq and is a predicted model, not a curated record. The transcript has a single exon. NCBI's taxonomy places the organism in Eukaryota, Viridiplantae, Streptophyta, Magnoliopsida, Magnoliales, Magnoliaceae.
GGCUCGAUGAUUAAACGCCUUUUAAAGGGCAAUAUACGCUAUGCUGAGGAUCUUGAUGUGAUGAAUGCAAAAGAUUGCAAAAUGAGAGCU